GGUUAAGCGACUAAGCGUACACGGUGGAUGCCCUGGCAGUCAGAGGCGAUGAAGGACGUGCUAAUCUGCGAUAAGCGUCGGUAAGGUGAUAUGAACCGUUAUAACCGGCGAUUUCCGAAUGGGGAAACCCAGUGUGAUUCGUCACACUAUCAUUAACUGAAUCCAUAGGUUAAUGAGGCGAACCGGGGGAACUGAAACAUCUAAGUACCCCGAGGAAAAGAAAUCAACCGAGAUUCCCCCAGUAGCGGCGAGCGAACGGGGAGCAGCCCAGAGCCUGAAUCAGUGUGUGUGUUAGUGGAAGCGUCUGGAAAGGCGCGCGAUACAGGGUGACAGCCCCGUACACAAAAAUGCACAUGCUGUGAGCUCGAUGAGUAGGGCGGGACACGUGGUAUCCUGUCUGAAUAUGGGGGGACCAUCCUCCAAGGCUAAAUACUCCUGACUGACCGAUAGUGAACCAGUACCGUGAGGGAAAGGCGAAAAGAACCCCGGCGAGGGGAGUGAAAAAGAACCUGAAACCGUGUACGUACAAGCAGUGGGAGCACGCUUAGGCGUGUGACUGCGUACCUUUUGUAUAAUGGGUCAGCGACUUAUAUUCUGUAGCAAGGUUAACCGAAUAGGGGAGCCGAAGGGAAACCGAGUCUUAACUGGGCGUUAAGUUGCAGGGUAUAGACCCGAAACCCGGUGAUCUAGCCAUGGGCAGGUUGAAGGUUGGGUAACACUAACUGGAGGACCGAACCGACUAAUGUUGAAAAAUUAGCGGAUGACUUGUGGCUGGGGGUGAAAGGCCAAUCAAACCGGGAGAUAGCUGGUUCUCCCCGAAAGCUAUUUAGGUAGCGCCUCGUGAAUUCAUCUCCGGGGGUAGAGCACUGUUUCGGCAAGGGGGUCAUCCCGACUUACCAACCCGAUGCAAACUGCGAAUACCGGAGAAUGUUAUCACGGGAGACACACGGCGGGUGCUAACGUCCGUCGUGAAGAGGGAAACAACCCAGACCGCCAGCUAAGGUCCCAAAGUCAUGGUUAAGUGGGAAACGAUGUGGGAAGGCCCAGACAGCCAGGAUGUUGGCUUAGAAGCAGCCAUCAUUUAAAGAAAGCGUAAUAGCUCACUGGUCGAGUCGGCCUGCGCGGAAGAUGUAACGGGGCUAAACCAUGCACCGAAGCUGCGGCAGCGACGCUGAUGCGUUGUUGGGUAGGGGAGCGUUCUGUAAGCCUGCGAAGGUGUGCUGUGAGGCAUGCUGGAGGUAUCAGAAGUGCGAAUGCUGACAUAAGUAACGAUAAAGCGGGUGAAAAGCCCGCUCGCCGGAAGACCAAGGGUUCCUGUCCAACGUUAAUCGGGGCAGGGUGAGUCGACCCCUAAGGCGAGGCCGAAAGGCGUAGUCGAUGGGAAACAGGUUAAUAUUCCUGUACUUGGUGUUACUGCGAAGGGGGGACGGAGAAGGCUAUGUUGGCCGGGCGACGGUUGUCCCGGUUUAAGCGUGUAGGCUGGUUUUCCAGGCAAAUCCGGAAAAUCAAGGCUGAGGCGUGAUGACGAGGCACUACGGUGCUGAAGCAACAAAUGCCCUGCUUCCAGGAAAAGCCUCUAAGCAUCAGGUAACAUCAAAUCGUACCCCAAACCGACACAGGUGGUCAGGUAGAGAAUACCAAGGCGCUUGAGAGAACUCGGGUGAAGGAACUAGGCAAAAUGGUGCCGUAACUUCGGGAGAAGGCACGCUGAUAUGUAGGUGAAGCGACUUGCUCGUGGAGCUGAAAUCAGUCGAAGAUACCAGCUGGCUGCAACUGUUUAUUAAAAACACAGCACUGUGCAAACACGAAAGUGGACGUAUACGGUGUGACGCCUGCCCGGUGCCGGAAGGUUAAUUGAUGGGGUUAGCGCAAGCGAAGCUCUUGAUCGAAGCCCCGGUAAACGGCGGCCGUAACUAUAACGGUCCUAAGGUAGCGAAAUUCCUUGUCGGGUAAGUUCCGACCUGCACGAAUGGCGUAAUGAUGGCCAGGCUGUCUCCACCCGAGACUCAGUGAAAUUGAACUCGCUGUGAAGAUGCAGUGUACCCGCGGCAAGACGGAAAGACCCCGUGAACCUUUACUAUAGCUUGACACUGAACAUUGAGCCUUGAUGUGUAGGAUAGGUGGGAGGCUUUGAAGUGUGGACGCCAGUCUGCAUGGAGCCGACCUUGAAAUACCACCCUUUAAUGUUUGAUGUUCUAACGUGGACCCGUAAUCCGGGUUGCGGACAGUGUCUGGUGGGUAGUUUGACUGGGGCGGUCUCCUCCUAAAGAGUAACGGAGGAGCACGAAGGUUGGCUAAUCCUGGUCGGACAUCAGGAGGUUAGUGCAAUGGCAUAAGCCAGCUUGACUGCGAGCGUGACGGCGCGAGCAGGUGCGAAAGCAGGUCAUAGUGAUCCGGUGGUUCUGAAUGGAAGGGCCAUCGCUCAACGGAUAAAAGGUACUCCGGGGAUAACAGGCUGAUACCGCCCAAGAGUUCAUAUCGACGGCGGUGUUUGGCACCUCGAUGUCGGCUCAUCACAUCCUGGGGCUGAAGUAGGUCCCAAGGGUAUGGCUGUUCGCCAUUUAAAGUGGUACGCGAGCUGGGUUUAGAACGUCGUGAGACAGUUCGGUCCCUAUCUGCCGUGGGCGCUGGAGAACUGAGGGGGGCUGCUCCUAGUACGAGAGGACCGGAGUGGACGCAUCACUGGUGUUCGGGUUGUCAUGCCAAUGGCACUGCCCGGUAGCUAAAUGCGGAAGAGAUAAGUGCUGAAAGCAUCUAAGCACGAAACUUGCCCCGAGAUGAGUUCUCCCUGACUCCUUGAGAGUCCUGAAGGAACGUUGAAGACGACGACGUUGAUAGGCCGGGUGUGUAAGCGCAGCGAUGCGUUGAGCUAACCGGUACUAAUGAACCGUGAGGCUUAACCUU
This 2904-nucleotide ribosomal RNA is filed under the name Escherichia coli. RNAcentral describes it as "23S ribosomal RNA". It matches the Rfam family "Bacterial large subunit ribosomal RNA". The record is from RNAcentral. Lineage: Bacteria; Pseudomonadati; Pseudomonadota; Gammaproteobacteria; Enterobacterales; Enterobacteriaceae.